Molecule: long non-coding RNA, 2024 nt
Filed under: Nicotiana benthamiana
Lineage: Eukaryota; Viridiplantae; Streptophyta; Magnoliopsida; Solanales; Solanaceae
Description: long non-coding RNA (NBEN_LNC037556)
Source: RNAcentral
GACCCUUCAACGAUUUCUUCUCUCAGGCUCUCUAUAGCCCCUUAAAACCCUAAUCACCUCCCGCCUCAUUUCACCCCUUUACCACAGGAAUCCAUGGCAUCUCCAGCCAUGGAUGGCCUGUGCUUACCCUCUAACACCCUUGAGCCUAAGCUACUCAUCGAUUGGAGGCUUGACCUUGAUGGUCUCUUUCCAGAUCCACCUCAGAUCCGUAGAUUUAUGGCCUCCUCGGCCACGUUCCGACGUAUUCAAGCACUGCAAGCUCGAUUCCUGACCAUUUCAACUCCAGAUCCUAUCUUGUUUCUUCCAAGCCUUUCUUUUUUUUAGUGUUCUUAGAAACCCUAAACUAGUCCAGGUUCUUUCUUUGUUUAUUUUUCUAGAUUUAUGCAGGAUCUAUGCUAUAUUUGAUGUUUUAAGUGUUUUACCCAAAUUUCCUUUUCAAAAAUCUUUUGAUUUCCAAUCAGGGUUUCUGAGUCUCUUUUUUAGUAUUUCUGUUUGAUUUACUGUUUAUCAUCUCCAGACUUUAUAGGAGUCUAAAACCCUAAUAUUUGGGUUCAUUUGAGUCUACAAGACUAUUUGUUUGUUUGUUUUACUAUUUUAUCAUCUCUAGACUCGAUUGGUGUUGAAAACCCUAAUUUUAGGUUCGUUCGACUCUUUGAGACUAUUUGUUCAUUUGUUUACUUGUUUGUUAUAUCUAGAAUCGAUUUGUAUUGAAAACCCUAAUUUUAUUUGGGUUUCGAGUCUCUAAAGCAUUUUGCUAAGUAUUUGUGUAAUCUGUUUGUUCAUCAUCUUUAAGCUCGAUUAGUUUUGAAAACCCUAAUUUCUUUGGGGUUUAUUCGAUUUCCUAAAAUUACUUUUGCAUUGCAUCUGUUUGAAAUUGCUCUACUUGAUUUGAAAUUCCUUUGUUUCAGCAUCUCUUUAUGUUAUUCCUUUGGUUUUGCUUUCUUACUACUUGACUAUGCUUUUCAGAAGGGUUUUUCACUUGACCCCUUGCAUGCUCAUGAUACUCUGUCUUUCUCUACUACUACGUCAAUGAAACUCGACCUACAUGACUAUCAUGCUGCAAGUUUUUUCUUUCGUGAUUCUACUGUGAGUUGUUUCCCAUUGCCAAUAGUUUGGCCUCGCAUGUCUAGUGUUUGUGCACUCUGUAUAUAUACUGAGUUUCACUCUUUGAUUGACUUUGAAACUUGUGACUGAUUUCAAACCUUUCCUUUGUGAAAUUAUUAUUUUUACUCGCCUGCUAAGGGUUAAUUGAUUUCCUUCCUUGGUUUGCCUUACUGAGUCCUUUCCAAAAAUAAGUAUGUUCAUGUACUUAGCCUUACUCACCAGCUCAAUUAUUUUACUACUUCUUUUAUGGAAAUAAUCAGUCUCCCUAUAAAUUGAUUUCUUUCCUUAUGUGUGAAUUUUUCACUGCCCGUUAAGCAAGUGAUCCCUCAAUUAAGGACAAUUACUUGUAUAAUUGAUUCUGAAUAGUGAUUGUUUCCAUGUUUGUGGCUUACUACUUCACUUUUUACUCAUUUCCAAAAACUGUAAAUUUUAUGUACCUCUUCUCUUUCAAACACGAACACAAGUCAUUACUUACUUACUCUGAAAUACACUUAGAGUUUUUAAGCACUCGAGUUCUCUAAUUCACAGGCAUAAAGGUUCUUUUUUUAUUGUGGAUUGGCUUGAAAGUAUCCUGCUUUUCUUUGCUUGCUUUUUCUAUAACUGGUAUGUUGCCUUUGUUUAAUUUCUACCGCAUCCCUAUGUGUUUAUUCUUCAAUCCAUUCUUUGCCUAGUUUAUUGUUUCCAUAAUGUAACUUUUCUGCAAAUUGGUUUGUUUCUUUUCUCUGCUCCUAUAUGAAUCCUUACCCCAAUUCCUUUUAUAUGUUUGAGCUAUGGUUAAAAAAAUAUGAUAACAUUUGAUAUUGUUGUUCAUGGACAUGAACUGGACUCUCUGAGUCCUAAACUUUGUUAAUUCUCAUUCCAUUUCCCUUUCUAUGUUUCUGAGUUUGAAUCUUUUAUAUGGCAGUGUCCUAAUCAUUGUC